GACGAACGCUGGCGGCGUGCUUAACACAUGCAAGUCGAACGAUGAACCCGGAGCUUGCUCCGGUGGAUUAGUGGUGAACGGGUGAGUAACACGUGAGUAACCUGCCCUUGACUCUGGGAUAACUGCGGGAAACUGUAGCUAAUACCGGAUACGACCCUCGGCGGCAUCGCCAGGGGGUGGAAAGAAUUUCGGUCAAGGAUGGACUCGCGGCCUAUCAACUAGUUGGUGAGGUAACGGCUCACCAAGGCGACGACGGGUAGCCGGCCUGAGAGGGUGACCGGCCACACUGGGACUGAGACACGGCCCAGACUCCUACGGGAGGCAGCAGUGGGGAAUAUUGCACAAUGGGCGCAAGCCUGAUGCAGCAACGCCGCGUGAGGGAUGACGGCCUUCGGGUUGUAAACCUCUUUUAGUAGGGAAGAAGCGAAAGUGACGGUACCUGCAGAAAAAGCACCGGCUAACUACGUGCCAGCAGCCGCUGUAA
This 484-nucleotide ribosomal RNA is filed under the name uncultured bacterium. RNAcentral describes it as "partial 16S ribosomal RNA". It matches the Rfam family "Bacterial small subunit ribosomal RNA", at positions 28 to 523 of the family's 1533-position model. The record is from RNAcentral.